Molecule: ribosomal RNA, 89 nt
Filed under: Candidatus Cryptobacteroides aphodequi
Lineage: Bacteria; Pseudomonadati; Bacteroidota; Bacteroidia; Bacteroidales
Description: partial 16S ribosomal RNA
Rfam family: Bacterial small subunit ribosomal RNA
Source: RNAcentral
ACAAAGAAGAGUUUGAUCCUGGCUCAGGAUGAACGCUAGCGGCAGGCUUAACACAUGCAAGUCGAGGGGCAGCGAGGGUAGCAAUACCU